CUUUUGGUCGAACAAAUAGAGAUACUGGGCUCUAAAAUCUGAUUCUAACUCCCAGGUAACCUCACUGGGCGUGUGGUUCUGCCACACGACUUUUACAAAUGAUAUUUCCCGGUUGCGGAGUAUCCUGCUCUUUCGGUCGGUGAUGCCGACUGGUACUUCUUCGUAAGAUAAGUCCUCUUGGAGUGGAAGCGGUUCAUGAGCCAAGACAUGAGAGGGGUCCGGGUUGUAC
This 229-nucleotide long non-coding RNA is filed under the name Carica papaya (papaya). Its description in RNAcentral is "long non-coding RNA (CPAP_LNC015863)". The record is from RNAcentral. Lineage: Eukaryota; Viridiplantae; Streptophyta; Magnoliopsida; Brassicales; Caricaceae.